Molecule: ribosomal RNA, 253 nt
Filed under: uncultured bacterium
Lineage: Bacteria
Description: partial 16S ribosomal RNA
Rfam family: Bacterial small subunit ribosomal RNA
Source: RNAcentral
UACGUAGGUGGCAAGCGUUGUCCGGAUUUACUGGGCGUAAAGCGUGCGCAGGCGGUUUUGUAAGCCAGAUGUGAAAUCCCCGGGCUUAACCUGGGAAUGGCAUUUGGGACUGCAAGGCUCGAGUGCGGCAGAGGAGACUGGAAUUCCUGGUGUAGCAGUGAAAUGCGUAGAUAUCAGGAGGAACACCGAUGGCGAAGGCAGGUCUCUGGGCUGACACUGACGCUCAUGCACGAAAGCGUGGGGAGCAAACAGG